Non-coding RNA from Thamnophis sirtalis, 1063 nucleotides. NCBI's taxonomy places the organism in Eukaryota, Metazoa, Chordata, Lepidosauria, Squamata, Natricidae. The record is from RefSeq and is a predicted model, not a curated record.
AUAGGAUAGACCUCCCCUCUUCCCAGAAACCCGUGUCUCUGCCCCUCAACCAGAAUCAAGAAGUGAAAAGCCAACUGACUGCAGAGAAUAUCCAGGUUGUGCACCUGGAUAACAUGAAGGAGGAAGAGGCAGAGGUCCAGAAGACAUCGUCCCAGCCUCCCUAUUAUGACAUGGCAGCUACUGAGUCUACUCCCAACCCUGACAAGUUGACCACGGGCAACAACAAGGAUGCCAACAUCCAAUACGCAGAGCUGGACACGUCCGUUUUGACCACAUCAUCAUCACCGAGUCACAAAGCCUCCAUUCCUGCUGGUGGGGAUCUGGUUGAGUAUGCAACCAUCCAGGCGAACGUAUCUUAGCGCACCACACUGUCAGCCUUUCUCCCUUCGGAUGCUGUCCUCAAGAACAACAAGUGUCACUUAGAGAUACCAGACGCAGGUGAUGAUCUAACCAACACAACCAGCGCCUGCCAAAAAGAAUCCUCUGUCUUUAGUCCCUUGUCUUACUUCCAAGAAGAUGUCUACUUGUCCAAUGCUUCCCCCCGACCCACAUCCUUAUGCCAUCCAACGCCAGGUCCAGGAUGCCCCCAAAAGCCCUACGUGUGAACCAACACAACCAAGCAAAAGAGAAGAAAGGGGGGGGGGAACCUUUCCAUGUCUUCAACAUCCAUGCGUCCACCACAACCUGGGUCCCUUCCCUAACCCUCCACACCCAGUAGGAACUUAUCAAGUGUGUCUGUGUGUCUGUUGAGUAUGAGUGGACAUCGUGACUGCCACCUUCCUUUCUCUCUCUUAUUUGUCUCUCUCUUAUUUUUCUCUCCCCUCCCCGUUUUUUGUUGUUGUUGAAAAGUAUUGGUGCGUUGGUAUUUUUCAUCAUUAGAUUAAGGCUGCGAUCCUGAAGGAGGGCGCGAACCACUUGAAAUUCCCCAAGGGGAAUACUUGCAAGUGCAGGAUUUGGGGGCCACUCAGCAUGUCACUGCCUUCUUUGCAAUCUUUUUUUUUACGAAUCCAUCCUUAAUUUUCAUCCCCUUUUUAAUCCCUUUCUUUUGAAUAAUUGACCCCCC